RNAcentral lists this ribosomal RNA (253 nucleotides) under uncultured bacterium. RNAcentral's name for it is "partial 16S ribosomal RNA". It matches the Rfam family "Bacterial small subunit ribosomal RNA", at positions 524 to 776 of the family's 1533-position model. The record is from RNAcentral.
UACGUAGGGUGCGAGCGUUGUCCGGAAUUACUGGGCGUAAAGAGCUCGUAGGUGGUUUGUCGCGUUGUUCGUGAAAACCGGGGGCUUAACCCUCGGCGUGCGGGCGAUACGGGCAGACUUGAGUACUGCAGGGGAGACUGGAAUUCCUGGUGUAGCGGUGGAAUGCGCAGAUAUCAGGAGGAACACCGGUGGCGAAGGCGGGUCACUGGACCAUUACUGACACUGAGGCACGAAAGCUAGGGGAGCAAACAGG